RNAcentral lists this ribosomal RNA (1428 nucleotides) under Triticum aestivum (bread wheat). RNAcentral's name for it is "partial small subunit ribosomal RNA". Lineage: Eukaryota; Viridiplantae; Streptophyta; Magnoliopsida; Poales; Poaceae. The record is from RNAcentral.
AUGAGACAAAAAGUGAACUCUCACCGCCGUCGGCUUCCAACUUGUUUACUGCCUGUCUGCCGGCCAUUGACGCUGGGGCUCUCUUUUAGGUCGUAUCUCGUAUGUGCUAAUGAACACGAGUCCCCUGUGUUCUUCUUCCACAUCCCUGCUUUGCCACCAAGGAUAUCGACACCCACUCCUCGCCACGCAGGCGCUCCUUCACCCGCAUGGACCUGCGGUGCGUGCUCUGCGUGGCCGCCGGGGCCCUCUUCACCGUGUUCCUCCUCGGGGCCUCCUGGAUCGCAUUCCCCUCCGCCUCAUUCUUCCUCCUCCAAUAUUCCCCUGCCACCNNNNNNNNNNNNNNNNNNCCCCCGCUUCGCCUACCUCAUCUCCGGCUCGGCAGGGGACGCUGGCAGGCUCCGCCGCUGCCUCCUCGCGCUCUACCACCCACGGAACCACUACAUCCUCCACCUGGACGCGGAGGCGCCCGAUUCGGACCGCACGGGGCUGGCGGCGUUCGUGACCGCGCACCCGGUCGCCGCCGCUAUGGGGAACGUGCGUGUGGUGGAGAAGGCCAACCUUGUUACCUACCGAGGCAUCACCAUGGUCACCACCACACUACACGCCGCCGCCAUCUUCCUGCGGCGGCCCGGCGGGGACUGGGACUGGUUCAUCAACCUGUCCGCCUCCGACUACCCACUCGUCACUCAGGACGAUCUGAUGGACGUCUUUUCGCGGCUGCCGCGUGACUUCAACUUCAUCGAGCACACGGGCGACCUGGGUUGGAAAGCGCCUGCGAGGGCGAUGCCGGUUGUCGUUGACCGUGGCCUCUACAUGAAGACGAAGCAAAAUCUGCUAUGGAUGAAUGAGACAGAGAAGCGGGCGCUGCCCACUGCUUUCACACUCUUCACUGGUUCUGCGUGGAUGGUGUUGUCUCGUCCAUUCGUGGAGUACCUGAUCUGGGGUUGGGACAACCUCCCGCGGACGGUCCUCCUCUAUUAUGCCAACUUCGUCUCCUCUCCGGAGGGCUACUUCCAAACUGUGGUCUGUAACGCCAAUGAAUUUCGCAACACCACUGUAAACCACGACAUGCACUACAUCUCCUGGGACGACCCCCCAGGUCAGCACCCACAGCUGCUCAACACCAGCCAUUGGGACAAGAUGGUUGGCAACAACGCCCCCUUUGCGCGCAAGUUCGGCCAGGACGACAUGGUGCUUGACAGGAUAGAUGCAGACAUCCUGUUACGGCCGCCAGGCAUGGUCGCCCCUGGAGGCUGGUGCAGGGGGGAUUUGGGCAGAAGUAGCGAUGGUCCUUGUUGCUCCGUGGGGAGCCCGACGCGCCUGCUUCCCGGCCCUGGAGCUGCACGGCUACAACGGCUGGUUACGUCGCUCAUGUUGGAGAAGAACUUCCGGUCGAAACAGUGCAAAAUAGUUGAGCACAAUUAUUGA